UACGGAGGGUGCGAGCGUUAAUCGGAAUUACUGGGCGUAAAGCGCGCGUAGGCGGCUUGAUAAGCCGGUUGUGAAAGCCCCGGGCUCAACCUGGGAACGGCAUCCGGAACUGUCAGGCUAGAGUGCAGGAGAGGAAGGUAGAAUUCCCGGUGUAGCGGUGAAAUGCGUAGAGAUCGGGAGGAAUACCAGUGGCGAAGGCGGCCUUCUGGACUGACACUGACGCUGAGGUGCGAAAGCGUGGGUAGCAAACAGG
Molecule: ribosomal RNA, 253 nt
Filed under: Halomonas organivorans
Lineage: Bacteria; Pseudomonadati; Pseudomonadota; Gammaproteobacteria; Oceanospirillales; Halomonadaceae
Also listed under: 2 other names
Description: partial 16S ribosomal RNA
Rfam family: Bacterial small subunit ribosomal RNA
Source: RNAcentral